UUAUGGCCACUGUGGGGAUUGAGAUUCACGGUGCCUCUUUCUGCUUUCACAGAACCCAUCAUAUCUCAUUUAACAGUUGAUACAUGUCUAAAUAUAAAUAUGUGAACGAGACCCCUGUACAGGGCUCAUACACUCUUAGAGAAAAGGGUUCCAAAUGGGUUCUUUGGCUGUCCCCAUAGGAGAACCCUUUUUUGUUCCAGGUAUAACUGUUUUGGAUUCUAUUUAGAACCCUCUGUGGAAAAUGUUCUACAUGGCACCCAAAAGGAAUUUACCUAUAAUCAAAGGGGUUCUACCUGGAACCAAAAAUGGUUCUUCAAAAGGUUCUCCUAUGGGAACAGCCGAAGAACCCUUUCAGGUUCCAGAUGGCACCUUUUUUUUCUAAGAGUGUAGGACUCCCUCAUAGAAGACCAGGCUACUCUAAGCAAGUAUUACCCAUCCUUCUUUUUCAUUUCAAAACCCAUUUUUCAAACAAGUCUGCUGAGAUCGUUCAUAUUUCAAAGUCCUUUUUUCAAAAGCUUCAGUUGUGUUUCAUCCCUGCAGCUCUUUCCUAAAGGCGGCGGAGAGAUGGGCUGGUGAGGGGUAAGGAGGGGGAGCUGCUAGCCUCACAGCAGACACACACUGGGGCUGGGCCCCUAUGGACCCCCGGGUGACCUGCAUGCUCAAACACCUCCCUCUCCCAGCACGGGACCAGCCACAGCAUCAGUUUCACUCGCUCAUGUCCCAUCUCCCAGUACUCAGUGGUGGUGUGGGGUUAGGAUUCAUCCCUAAAUGUGUGUGAUUUCACAUGAGAGAGAUUGUGUGUGUGUGAGAGAAUAAGACUGUGUGUGUGUGUUGGUGUAUUUCCAAAGCAUCCGAUGAAAAAGACUAAAACAUUUUUAAUAGAAUAUGUCAUGUCUAGGGACAGCUCUUCUUUUUUCUCCAAAAGGCACAGUGACUGGCCUGUUUAAAUUAUUCAUGUACACAAGGAAGAGAGUCAGUGGGAGAGACAGAUACAAAGAGACCAGAGGAGUCUGGUAGGAGGAGCUACUGUGCAUUCGGAAAGUAUUCAGACCCCUUGACUUUUUACACAUUUUGUUACGUUACAGCAUUAUUAUAAAAUGUAUUAAAUAGUGUUUUCCCCCUCAUCAAUCUACACACAAGCCCCAUAAUUGCAAAGCAAAACCAGUUUUUUUGAAAAUGUAUUCAGACCCUUUAGUCAGGACUUUGUUGACUUUGACUUUGGCAGCGAUUACAGCCUCUAGUCUUCAUGGGUGUGACGCUACAAGCUUGGCACACCUGUAUUUGGGGAGUUUCUCCCAUUCUUCUCUGCAGAUGCUCUCAAGAUCUGUCAGGUUGGAUGGGGAGCGUCACUGCACAGCUAUUUACAGAUCUCGCCAGAGAUGUUAGAUUGGGUUCAUGUCCAGUCUGUGGCUGGCCCACUCAAGGACAUUCAGAGACUUGACCUGAAGCCACUCAUGCGUUUUCUUGUCUGUGUGCAUAGGGUCGUUGUCCUGUUGGAAGGUGAACCUUCGCCCCAGUCUAAGGUCCUGAGCAGGUUUUCACCAAGGAUCUCUCUGUACUUUGCUCCGUUCAUCUUUCUCUCAACCCUGACUAGCCUCCCAGUCCCUGCCACUGAAGAACAUCCCCACAGCAUGAUGCUGCCACCACCAUGCUUCACCGUAGGGAUGGUGCCAGGUUUCCUCUAGAUGUGACGCUUGGCAUUCAUGCGAAAGAGUUCAAUCUUGGUUUCAUCAGAGCAGAGAAUCUUGUUUCUCAUGGUCUGAGAGUCGUUAGGUGCCUUUUGGCAAACUCCAAGCGUCAUGUGCCUUUUACUGAGGAGUGGCUUCCGUCUGGCCACUCUACCAUAAAAGCCUGAUUUGGGGAGUGCUGCAGAGAUGAUUGUCCUACAGGAAGGUUCUCCCAUCUCCACAGAGGAGCUCUGGAGCUCUGUCAGAGUGACCAUCGUUUUCUUUGUCCCUUCCUGACUAAGGCCCUUCUCCCCUGAUUGCUCAGUUUGACCGGGUGGCCAGCUCUCGGAAGAGUCUUGGUGGUUCCAAUCUUCUUCCAUUUAAGAAUGAUUGAGGCCACUGUGCUCUUGGGGACCUUCAAUGCUGCAGGAUCUCUAUGGACAAUUCCUUCAACUUCAUGCUUUGGUUUUUGCUCUGAAAUGCACUGUCAACUGUGGGACCUUAUAUAGACGUGUGUGCAUAUCCAAAUAAUGUCAAAUCAAUUGAAUUUACCACACGUGGACUCCAAUAAAGUUCUAGAAAUAUCUCAAAGAUGAUCAAUGGAAACAGGAUGCAGUUCAAUUUCUAGUCUCAUAGCAAAGGGUCUGAAUUUUUAAUAAAUUUCCCCCCAAAAAACAGUUUUUGCUGUUUUUGUCAUUAUGGGGUAUUGUGUGUAGAUUGAUGAGAAAAUAAACAACUUAAUCCAUUUCAGAAUAAGGCUGUAACGUAACAAAAUGUGGAAAAGGUCAAGGGGUCCGAAUGCACUGUGUUGGAGGAUGGGCUCAUUGUAUUGGCUGGAAUGGAAUUAAUGGAACCAUUCCAUAUAUUCCAUUCCAUCCAUAUGGUAUGCAACCCCUCACUGAGGUCAUAUGGUAUGCAACACCUCACUGAGGUCAUAUGGUAUGCAACACCUCAGUGAGGUCAUAUGGUAUGCAACACCUCAGUGAGGUCAUAUGGUAUGCAACACCUCAGUGAGGUCAUAUGGUAUGCAACACCUCAGUGAGGUCAUAUGGUAUGCAACACCUCAGUGAGGUCAUAUGGUAUGCAACACCUCAGUGAGGUCAUAUGGUAUGCAACACUUCAGUAAGGUCAUAUGGUAUGCAACACCUGUCAGGAUUUGGCCAGGAUUGUUCCGGUUUUGGUCACUAGAUGCCCACAUUGUGCUUUUUUGACCCUUUUGUGUUCCCUUGUUUCCAGUUAUUAUUUGCACCUGUGCCUCGUUUCCCUUGAAUGUAUUUAAACCCUUAGUUUUCCUCAGUUCAUUGCUCUGUGUUUGUAUGUUAGCACCCAGUUGGACUCUCUUGUGGUACUCUGCUUUUGUUUUUGUUCUUGGUUAUUUAUUUUUGAUUUUCUUUUGAGGCUUUUUUCCUGCUGUAUGUACCACCUUGUGGAUUUACCUUUUCACUUUUCACUUCACUCUUCACUUUUUGUCUUGGAAUUACUUUUGACAUUGUGGAUUUAUAUUUUUGCAUGAAGUACUUUCCUUUUUACUUCAUUAAAACACCGUCUCAAGUA
Molecule: long non-coding RNA, 3221 nt
Organism: Oncorhynchus keta (chum salmon)
Lineage: Eukaryota; Metazoa; Chordata; Actinopteri; Salmoniformes; Salmonidae
Exons: 2
Source: RefSeq, a predicted model, not a curated record